RNAcentral lists this ribosomal RNA (180 nucleotides) under uncultured Glomeromycotina. RNAcentral describes it as "partial small subunit ribosomal RNA". It matches the Rfam family "Eukaryotic small subunit ribosomal RNA", at positions 653 to 830 of the family's 1831-position model. Lineage: Eukaryota; Fungi; Glomeromycota. The record is from RNAcentral.
GGAUCAAUUUAUUGGUCGUGCUAUUGUACGUACUGGUAUUAUUGAUUCCUACCUUCUGACGAACCAUGAUGUCAUUAAUUUGGUGUCAUGGGGAAUCAGGACUGUUACUUUGAAAAAAUUAGAGUGUUUCAGGCAGGCAAUUGCUUGGAUACUUCAGCAUGGAAUAAUGGAAUAGGACUU